GACGAACGCUGGCGGCGUGCCUAAUACAUGCAAGUCGAGCGCUUCUUUCCUCCCGAGUGCUUGCACUCAAUUGGAAAGAGGAGUGGCGGACGGGUGAGUAACACGUGGGUAACCUACCCAUCAGAGGGGGAUAACACUUGGAAACAGGUGCUAAUACCGCAUAACAGUUUAUGCCGCAUGGCAUAAGAGUGAAAGGCGCUUUCGGGUGUCGCUGAUGGAUGGACCCGCGGUGCAUUAGCUAGUUGGUGAGGUAACGGCUCACCAAGGCCACGAUGCAUAGCCGACCUGAGAGGGUGAUCGGCCACACUGGGACUGAGACACGGCCCAGACUCCUACGGGAGGCAGCAGUAGGGAAUCUUCGGCAAUGGACGAAAGUCUGACCGAGCAACGCCGCGUGAGUGAAGAAGGUUUUCGGAUCGUAAAACUCUGUUGUUAGAGAAGAACAAGGACGUUAGUAACUGAACGUCCCCUGACGGUAUCUAACCAGAAAGCCACGGCUAACUACGUG
RNAcentral lists this ribosomal RNA (508 nucleotides) under uncultured bacterium. Its description in RNAcentral is "partial 16S ribosomal RNA". It matches the Rfam family "Bacterial small subunit ribosomal RNA", at positions 28 to 507 of the family's 1533-position model. The record is from RNAcentral.